Phycodurus eques (leafy seadragon) is the source of this 7830-nucleotide RNA transcript. It is a transcript of the gene named chromobox protein homolog 2-like, with no coding region annotated. The record is from RefSeq and is a predicted model, not a curated record. The transcript has 8 exons. NCBI's taxonomy places the organism in Eukaryota, Metazoa, Chordata, Actinopteri, Syngnathiformes, Syngnathidae.
CAACAGAAAAAUGUUCAGCCGACGCUCCCGUUGCAAUAUGAUAAAACUCACUUGAUCUCAUAUUGACUGAUUGGACUUUUUCAAACACUGAGAUCACAUGAUGUAAUCACUUGAAUUAUGGAGCACUUUUCAAAAACAAGUUACAAAGCGCUCAACAAGAAGAGAGUGACGAGUUGGCAGCGAGGCUAAGCCAAAUAUUUCACUCCAUCAUAUGAGCACAUAUCCAGUUCUGAUUAUCUCUGAAUUCCAAUGUCAAUCUAUGAUCCAUCUUCAGAAAGCCGAACGUUCAAAAGUCCGGUCGGGCUCAGCGGUAGCCGUAGCCCGGCAGAGGCAGAGGCUGGCCCUCCUUGGCCUCGAAGAAGGUGUAGGACAGCGUGAUGGUGUCCACGCGAGCCAUCCUGGGGUCCACGUCGAACUCGGGGUCGAUGUAGAAGAAGACGGGCAUGUCCACCUCCUCGUGAGGGUUCAGACGCUGCUCCUCGAAGCAGAAGCACUGAGGAAGGACACAAGCGGAGACACAAGGCCAGCGCCGUCUCACCCGGGACCACCUGCGCGACAACCGACCGCAGUUUGAGCGAACGACCGGCGCGCUUCCGACGUCCGACGAGCGUCUUACGAAGAUCUCCGUCUGCUGAGGUCGGAAGUUCCACUGCAUGCUGGCGUGCGUGUCUGCGUUGAAGGUGACCUUGACCACGCGCUCCUUCACCGGCUCCAUGCUCUCCACCAGGUCCGAGUCGUGACCGCUCACCGCCGUGCCGCCGAGGCCCGUCGCCUGGCGGGAAAACAAAGCUGAAAUCGCACAACGCGACCACGAGGCUCUCGAAAGCUCUCGCAAAAUCGGUGGAAGUUUCAAUAUGUGCAACGGUAACUCCGGUGCCUACCUCUAAUAUGGCGCAGAUUUUUAAGCAAUUGUUUUUUAUGGGUUUUUACAGUAUACAGGCAACUCUGAUUUGAGAGUUUUUGGCCUUGAGUGUAGUACCACGUCGUUCCACAACAUGCCAGGCAACACUGAGCUCUGCUGGGUCAAAUGACGCAUCAUUAGGAGAACAGAAGAAGGGCCAGGAACGUUCCAGAGGAGAGAGAACACAUGCUUGUCGGUACUGCUCGAGUCUCCAUUUGUAUGUGUUGCUGCUCGCGUGUGUUAAAGGAGCAGUCGUUUAAACGUGCAUCAUUACCAUUACAUAUAUGUGCUAAUUUCGGUUAUCCCAUCUAUGGCGUUGUUGGUAUUACGCUAGCAGACGUUUAUUUUACAGUUUAGCGUUUAAAUAUACAAUGUUUAUUUUUUUACAGUAAACUUCAACUCGGAGUGAUAAAAAAAACAGUUUUGCCUCUUUGGACAAUUGUGCCAGUGAGAGAACAGGCGUUAAGGAAUACAUUAAAAAAAAAAAAAAAAAAAAAAGCAUCUUUUCAUACAGUUGAGUGUGUUUUAAGAAGCUUAAACGUGUUUAAUAGUGCGUGGGAGGUGUAUAAGUACAAAACCGUUUUUUUAUACACGGUCUUUAUAUCGCAGAUUUCCAUCCCUUUAUUCAAAAAUGGGAAACGAUUUCAAAUUGACAGUGUAAAAAAUGAUUUUGAAUCUCUAGAAAAGUAGAUGGUUGUUUCCCAAAACAAAAGCAGAUGUUUUAUUUGGAUUCAACACGGAGGACUACAGAAAGCGGGGAAUACUUAACUGCCGGGAGACCGAAAUUUGGAGGAUUUGGACAAUUUGAAGUGAACCGAGGUCUCGAUUGGAUGGCUUAAAUUGUGACACCGGUCCUGGAACUUGUCUGCCACGCACGCGCUCGCUCGCUAGCUCACCUGGCAGUAGAGCUUGUAGAGCGGCACGGCGGCGUAGGACAGGCCGAUCAUGGCCACGCCGGCGGCCGCCACGUACGUGAGCAGCGUCUCGUUGCGGCUCUUCCGCUGCUCCUCGUGGCUCGGACGCUUUCUGCUCUGGACCCCCCGGCACUGGACGCGGGGGCGCCACAGGAAGAGCGGCGGCCUUCCGGCGUGCCAGCGAAGGGGCCUCAGGAAGCCGCGCAGCGACUGGCCGACCACCGGGGGCGGCAGCAUGGCAGGAGUUGGCUCACCUGCAUGGAGGAAGACCAGUCAGCAUCGAUUUUCUCAUUGUUGUCGUUAUCGUUCAGCCAUUUUCUAAAGUGCGCUUGAUUGACGUUGACCCUAACAUUGGUGCAAUUGUACUGCUUGCUUUGAACCAGUCCUAACUUUCCUAAUAGGUCAAACCAAACCACCAUCACUGGAACGGUCUCGAAAAGAUCUGCUGGUCUCGUGUGAUUCUAUUAAAGUUCCAUUUGAAGCCCAACCUCCACAUCGACAAGCAACCUCUAACCACGAGGACGCUGUGCUCGUAAGCAAGCCAUCUUUCCAUUUCCCACUUCUCGGGAUUGUGAUUAUUAACGCAUUUUAAGCCUCGCAGAUGUCACGGACGUCAUUUAGGAUUACAAAUCUACACCGCUGUUAAUAGAACAACAACAACAACAACAACGUUGGGAUGAGGACAUGUCUGACCUGCAAGUGUCCACAGUCCUGGUCGGCACGAAGCAAAAACAACGCAAAACGUGAGGGUCAAUAAGUCACGUAAUAAAGACGCUUAAUUGACAUAAUAAAAGCGUCACUUGAUCAUUUGGGUUCCCUCCGAAGGAAACAAAAUAUUCAUGCGCCGGGAGACGACGACAAGCCGGCGGACAUGUUUGACAUGUUUGAGGGAGACACAACAUUGCGCAAGGAACCGGCGUGCAACACAUAAAAGCUUCCCUCGCCGGCAGUCGUCUCAAAAUACAUCGUUCUGCUUUCCAUUAAACAACACAAGUUGACAACAACAUUGUUUGGCACUGCGGUGGAAAAUUAAAGCGCUAAAUGUGAGUACAGUAUCCGUUUUAAGGAGUGGAUUCGGCAAGUGAAAAAAUAGGAUCCAUUUCUCGGCUCAUUAUGAACAUUAAAAUUCUGCGACAACACACACGUUCCGCUUUCGAUGAAAAAAAAAAAAAGCGCAAUAAACGAUUAUAUCAACAAAUGGACUGUCACAGCGUAAGGUACGAUUUGGGAAAAUUGAAAUAUGAAAAUGAAUAUGUAUGUCAAUGAUUUGAAAUGACCUCCUACAGAAGGCCGGUGACACCAUGGGAUUGAAGAUUGAGACAAUUUCCUACCAUAUUACAUACUGGGUGUUGAGUAGUUAAUGUCUUUAAGUAUGUGUCAGUGUCAACGUUGCACUUCCCUUUUGCACUAACCGUGUACAUUAUUCGACUCUAUGUAUUACCAUUUACAAAGAUAUGCAACACCUUAAUCAUCAGUCUCUUUUCUUUCUACUUGUAUUAGAUUUCAAUUUAUAGUGUAACUCCACCCCAAACAACGUAUUUGUUUUUCACUUUGUUGGUUGUUCCCAGUACACAGUAGUAGUGAAUAUUCUAUUCUUAUUUGUAUGAAAUAUUGCCAAUAUCACAAUACUAUCUGUAUUUGGUGAAUUCCACAAUUCAAAAACGAUGACUUUCUCUAGUGUCUUUGAACGUGCAAAAACAUUCCCAGUCAUAUGUUGUACUGGAAGUUGCGCGACGUGUGCGGCUGCAGUCAAAUGAGGGUUUUGUAAAUCGCUCAUCGCGAAGCAAUUCGAUUAUGGACACGAUGUAGUGCGGAGCGCCUACGGAGGCCGCGCGUGGACGAAAAGGCGUUCGUGUUAUCCCGGCGGCCGUCCUGCAAUGGAGGGGGUGACAGUGGGCCAGGUAUUUGAUGCCGAAUGCAUCCUCAGCAAGCGGCCGAGAAAGGGCAAGUUCGAGUAUCUUGUCAAGUGGAGAGGGUGGUCGUCCAAGCACAACAGUUGGGAGCCAGAGGAAAAUAUUUUGGACCCGAGAUUACUGGCAGCCUUUCACAAAAGGGAACAAGAGCGAGAACUUUUGUUCCAGAAGAAAGGAAAGAGGCCGAGAGGACGACCACGCAAGAUUCCGCUUCCCGCUCCGCUCGCCGCAAAAGACAGCCGCUCGUCCUCCUCGUCGUUCUCCGGCGCGUCUUCGUCAGCGGCGGCGUCGUCGUCCGAGGAAGAAGAGGAGGCGGAGCACGAGGGCGAGAAGGCCGAGGGGGCGGGGGCGGGGGCGGGGCCGGGGGAGGCGGCGUCCCCCCGGCUGCACCCCGUCCCCCAGAAGAGGCCUCAGAUCCCGCCCGCCAAAGCCGAGCCUCCUCGCAAGAAGCGCGGCCGGAAACCGCUCCAGACCGACGCCAAAAGCAGGACGCCGCCCUCGCGCCCGCCCCCGAGCCACCACCGCCACCGCCACAACCACCACCACCACCACCACCACCAGCUGCUGCCGGGGUUCCUACGCAAGUAUGGAAAGGUGGAUCCUCGGCCAGGGAUAAAGAAGCCGCUGCAACCGGCGAGCUUCACCUACCCCGGACUCAGCAGGACCGCCAGAGACCACCACGCCGCCGCCCAGAGCUCGGCUUUCUCUCAGGUGGCGGCGUCCAAAGGGGGCUGCGUUUGGAACCGGCACAUGCCCGCGCCCUCGGCGUCCCUCGGCAAAGCUGGCAGCUCGCCGCAAAGGAAGACGUCGCACGGCGAGCUCAAACACUCCGCGUCGGGGGCGGGCGGCGGCCGGGGCGACGCCCUCAAAAGGACGCCGCCCCCUCUGAGAGCCUUCUUCGGGGGCGGGCCUGCGGCAGCGCAGCGCCCCGCGCCGGGUCUGAGGAGGCAGGACGUCCACGGCGGACACGCGGCUCUGCUCCAGCACAACCGAGCGCUCUCCAAGGCGCCGCCGUCGUCGUCCUCGCAGCGGGCGACUAAUCAGACGCUCGGCUUGCGGGCGCUCAACCUGCAGAGCGUCACAAAGACUCCGCCCGCCGGCUACCAGGGCAACAGCGGUGCGGCGGUGCGCUCCAGCACGCGCAGCGGCAGCCUGGUGGUCAUCAAAGACUCUUGCGUUAUACCCGCAGGGCAGCGGCCGGUCCUGCCCGCAGGGGGCGCCGGCGAGAAGGGAAGGAAAGACGUGACGGCGUCGGCGGGCGGCGGGCGGCAGGACGAGCGCAAGUCCGGCCGCAGCCUCAACGAGCUCAGCACCGGCGACUCCGACGACAGCAGCGGCAGCGAGUCGGAGCGGGACGCCGCGUCGUAUCCUAGCGACAGCCGGCCCAGCCUGGGCGACGCCGCUACGGAAUCGGACGCCGAGACGGACUGGCGGCCCACGCGGAACCUUCUGGAGCACGUGUUUGUCACCGACGUGACCGCCAACUUCAUCACCGUCACCGUCAAGGAGUCGCCCACCAGCGUCGGCUUCUUCAACCCACGCGACCACUAGCCCCUUUCGCGCCGCCCUCCGGAACCCGCUCGGUAGCCACGAGGGGGACGGGGCGCGGCAGCCGACCCCCCAAUUUGUCGGCGCUAUCCGAGGCGGAACACAACGGCGUCAGCGUGUAAGGGUGCCCGACAAAAGCCGCGUUUUUCCGGCUCGCUGUCCCGCGUUCAAGGGAGCGAAGCGGGACGGGGGUGGUUUAAGUCACCCUGCAAAUUUGCCAGCUUCAUCGGCGGCCUAAUGGAAGCGGAACACCGUCGGCGUGAAGUUUAGGCAUGCUGGCUACACCGCAUUGUGUUGAAAGCAAUUGUCGCUGCUGUCGCCACGCAUGUAAUUAUGCGAAUGCGUGAAGGCGCACCGCGUUGUGUGUGAAAGGAGUCGCCUUUUUCUCGCAGAUAUGCGGUAGCUCAGCUGGAAGUUGAACACACGAGACUCCCCUUGGUGUUGAAAGCGAUUGUCUGCGCGCAUCUAAUUGUCUACGGGUCAUAUUCUCCCGCGUGCAUACGUCAGAAAAGGCGGCGCGGCUUUUGCGUUCAUUCUGCGGUCAAGUCACACCGUGUGUCAUUUACGCAGCCGCUCUGGGUGGAGCGACCCAAAACGUUCUCGGCCUUCUCUGACAAAUUUGGAUCUGCGUGCAUUUCUCCCGCAGUUGAAAGUCUUAACGCCCCGCCAAGGUGAAACGUCACAUUGCACGAUUUGCUUCGCUUCGCUCCUCCGGCGGCGGGCGACCGCCCCGCGGAUGAGGGUGUGGGACACAACCGGACCCAUCGAUACGAAUGGGUAGAUACGCCGGCGCAACGUAGCAGCCCGGCUAGCCGACGUGCCUUAACGGCGGCCACGUUGGGGAGGUCGACGUUCCCAUAGAAGACAUCGCACGGACACUGAAAUUAAGUCGUAACCUGCUUAUUCCUCAACCGAUUUUCAUGAGGGUUUCGGGUUUGUGAACACCAAAGCGUGUGCUAUCAAUACACAUUUGGAGAAAAUCUUUACACAUGAAAGGUACUGCCAGUUCCCCCGUCGUAAGUGUACGAUGUCGUACGCAACCAUAGGCGGCACGACGUGCCGGCAUCUUUGUUCUUUCGCUUUUCUUGCUGUCCGUACACAUGGAAUGCGCUGAUGACUUUGACGUUCCUGCCUCGGUGUCGCCGUCGGCACGGAGCUCAAAAUGGGAGUGUCGUAUCUGCCGACAGUAUCUGUGACUGGGAACUCUGUGCUCACCCACUGCGUCCCACCACACGGCCGUGACGUGUGCCGAUCGCGCCCAUUAAUUGGCGAAAACAACUUCAGCGCCAGUGGACUUUUUCCACCUGCGAGCAGCAUUUCCGCUUCAGACGCACUGCAGGCAGCUUGCAGUUUGUCUGAAAGCGUCGUUGGCCACAACUACAGUCAUCGUAACAGCGCAAUGCAAAAACAGGCCGCGACACCUCGUCGUUUUCGGCGAAUCCAAAGGGGCGACACGGACCUGAGCUCGUGGAUCUGGAGCACGUCGGGGGCGCUCCCCCCCAGCGAGUGCACGGCCUGCCGGGACAGGUCCCGGGGGGGCGAGUAGAGCAGGUCCAGUUCCCGGGGGCUCAGGGCGUCGCUGGAGUCGUAGUCGCUGUCCGUGGGCAGGAACACCUCCGAGCAGCCGUCCUCGUCCGAGCCCGGGAGCGAGUCUAAACGCGGCGGCGGCGGCGAGUCAACAUCCGCAAGAUGGUCAGCCCCACCUAUUUUUGCCCCGCUCGGGACAACUGUGAAUAUUUGACAGGCGUUGUUCUAAGUUGGGUGUCAGUGUGCUCAAAAUGACCCCCCGCCACCCCCCCCCCCCCCCCCUCGAACCCACGGAAAUUUGAACAUCUCCUCCCCUUGUGUGUCAAUGUUGAAAUCUCGACUUAAGACUCUUUCUUCCACUCUCGCUUUUAGUUAAAGCGCACUUAGAAUGACGGCUGUUUUGGGCUGUUUUACUGCCGCUUCUCCUCCCUCCUCCCACAUGAUCAGAAUGGCUCCUGCCACCAUUUGAGCCAGGAAAAACCCCGAUGAUGAUGAUGAUGCUCACCGCUGAUGGCCUUCCUCCUGCGCAGUUCCGGCGAGGGCGAGGGCGGGUAGUCCAUGGCGGACGAGGUGGAGUCGGUCUUCUGCUGUCCGUCCUCGCUUUCCGGGGCGCCGGCGUCCACCAGGCAGGUGACGGGUACGCCGCCGCGCGGGUGCUUGUAGCGGGCGUACUGCAGCGCGUCCGUCAGCCAGCGGAGGUCUCGCCGCGUCUCGUCCAGCUGCUGCAGAUAUAUAUAUAUAUAAAGAUGGCGGCAAAUUUGAUUUCACUGAGUGAACUUGUGUCUAAUUUGAUGAUUUUGUGAGCGUGUUUUCCUCCCUCAACGUGUGACGAGUCGAAACAAAGCGUCCAAUUAGACCACAUCGUGUCAUUUUCACACUCACUCACUUUUGCGCACGGCCGAGAACCACAUGAACUGUUUCUGCGCGUCUUCGUGGGGCCACAUUUUAUUUUGCAUCUUGCGAGUGAGGACAUUUAUAUAAAAAAAAAAAAAAAAAAAGAAAAAAAAAGGAUUUUCAAACUGUUACC